RNAcentral lists this ribosomal RNA (495 nucleotides) under uncultured bacterium. Its description in RNAcentral is "partial 16S ribosomal RNA". It matches the Rfam family "Bacterial small subunit ribosomal RNA", at positions 28 to 507 of the family's 1533-position model. The record is from RNAcentral.
GACGAACGCUGGCGGCGUGCCUAAUACAUGCAAGUAGAACGCUGAAGGAGGAGCUUGCUCUUCUGGAUGAGUUGCGAACGGGUGAGUAACGCGUAGGUAACCUGCCUGGUAGCGGGGGAUAACUAUUGGAAACGAUAGCUAAUACCGCAUAAGAGUAGAUGUUGCAUGACAUUUACUUAAAAGGUACAAUUGCAUCACUACCAGAUGGACCUGCGUUGUAUUAGCUAGUUGGUGGGGUAACGGCUUACCAAGGCGACGAUACAUAGCCGACCUGAGGGGGUGAUCGGCCACACUGGGACUGAGACACGGCCCAGACUCCUUCGGGAGGCAGCAGUAGGGAAUCUUCGGCAAUGGACGGAAGUCUGACCGAGCAACGCCGCGUGAGUGAAGAAGGGUUUCGGAUCGUAAAGCUCGGUUGUUAGAGAAGAACGAGUGUGAGAGUGGAAAGUUCACACUGUGACGGUAUCUUAUCAGAAAGGGACGGCUAACUACGUG